UCCAAGGAUAAGGGGCUUCACUUUUCCCAAGUAGGGGAAAGAGAAGGGGUCUACAGGGCUAGGGGUGCAGGGAGCGGAUGCAGUGAGCAGCCUCCGCAGAGAAAUUGACAAUUUAACCAGGGACCUGCGGCAGAGAGAAGGCGGAGACACUCCCUUGCCCAGGAAAGCCGCCAGAGUCCGGCUUGUACCUGGGGAAGAAUCCUUAAGACGAUCUGGCCGAACACUUCUUUGCUCACAGAGAAAGGGGAGAAGACUCCCGAGGGUGAAAAUGGUACAGUUGGAGCUGGAACUCAGCUCGCUGACCCCAAGCAGUGUUCCCUUCUUUUCGCCGGGUUUGCAUCCAAGAGAGGGGAGGACAGGGGCAAAAGGAUGCAGGGAGGCUGCUGAUUUCCACUGGAGAGCUAAUUUCCUGUGAGAUAUUAACCGUGAUUUAAGAAAAAAAUUCCUGUAACUGUAAUGUCUUACAAUAACAGAAUGCAGGAGAGCACAUAUCAAUGAAGAAAAGACAAAAUGUAUUUAUCCAUGAAGCUGAGGUUAAGAAACCAGUGUCUUCAAGAGCCGGGGACAGCACUGGGUCUGUGCAGAGUUGAGAGAUGGUGAUGACAUGUGGUUUCCAGCAUUCCUGGCCCAGUCCAGGGACACUGUGGGUGUGCCCAGCUUAAGUCCAGUAAC
Molecule: small RNA, 672 nt
Filed under: Pongo abelii (Sumatran orangutan)
Lineage: Eukaryota; Metazoa; Chordata; Mammalia; Primates; Hominidae
Description: retained intron
Source: RNAcentral